This 28874-nucleotide long non-coding RNA is filed under the name Citrus sinensis (sweet orange). RNAcentral's name for it is "long non-coding RNA (CSIN_LNC005223)". Lineage: Eukaryota; Viridiplantae; Streptophyta; Magnoliopsida; Sapindales; Rutaceae. The record is from RNAcentral.
CCCCAGAUGAAAUACUGGAAGCCCCCGUGUUUGAUUGCUUGUUUGAGUACUUCUUGUUCUCGAAUUCAUCGGCUGAACUCGAAAACAGUGAUUCGACGUCGCUUUGUGCCUUGGCGAUUGAUUUUUUUUCAACGGUGGCAGCUGAUACUUGGCAUGUGAUUCGAGGUCGUUGUUUUUUCGUGAAAUUGAGUGAGUUUGUGAAGGAUUUUGCGGAUGCAAAUGGUGUGAAACGAGGCUGCAAAGUGCUGAAGAAGGAGGAGCGGAGGUUGGUGGUCGUGGUUGUUACGUCCAUGUUUGGAUAGCCAGAAACCGAAAGACAGUGAAGGAAAAUUUCUGGGUAUUGGAGGGCCAAGUGUGAGUUUCUCAGAGAAACACCUUCACUCUCAAGAGUCUCGACCUCAUGAAUUUUUUUAAGUAGAUAUUGGAGAUUUUUACAAGGGAAAAAUUUAAAUAAUAGGACAAAAAUAAAAAGAAAUAAUGAUAAAUUAGAAAUGGGAUUUUUUUUUUUUUGGUUUUUUGGGUUUUUUUUUCUUUUGUUUCUGCAUGAAAUUAAAUAUAUAAACAUGAAGAAUUGUUAAUCGACACAAAGAUCAUUCCAUUUUUAAUUUAAAUAGUUUUAAAAUUUUAUUACUUAUAUUAAUUAAGAAUGAUUAAAUAUAAUAGAUAAUUAUAUUAAAAAAUUAAAAAAGAGUAGGAGGUUAUAACUUAAUUGUAAAUUAUAUAUGCAUUAAUGAAAUACAUGCAUUUGCUCGCGUUUUAAUGAAAUAGAUGUUGAAAUAAAUAAAUAAAUAUUGAAGGAAUUAUAGCUUAUUUUUUAAUUAAUCGUAGCUCUUAAAAAUAUUUUUUAAUUUUUGUGGUUUAUAAAAAAAGAGAUAAAUAAAGGCGGAGACUGGAGACUGGUGAUAACGCCCGUAGUAGUCUUGUGGUGUAGAUUCUAUUAACGAGUGAUACCCUCUUCUCAUCAGGUGCCACGUGUAAGCUAUUGUGAGAUUAUCGUCGACAUGACUUGUGAGAUUUUUUUUCAAUUUUUAAAUAUUUUUAAAAAGUAAAUUACUAUAUCAUUUUCUUUCUUUUUUUUUGUUUUAUUACCAACAAAAAUUUUCAUUGAAAUUGAGAGGCUCCACAAUUACAUUGGAGCAUCCUGAUCCACAAAAUUUUAAAUAUUCUUUAUUCUUGCGUAUUAUUAUCUUUUAGUUUAUAUGUUGCUUUAUUUACUUGACUAUUUUUCAUAAAACUUUUAUAAUUUACAAGUGAGGUGUAUAAUAGAAUGAAUGUUUAAAUUUCUAAAUUUAAUAUCUUUAAAACCCAAUAUUAACAGUUUAACACUCCUUAGGGUAGGAUUAUGCAUUCUAAAAGUAUUUUGGAUUGAACAUUUUGAUUUUUAUCCAUUAAAUUUUUUUGAUCCAAUAAUAAGUGAGUGAGGGUAUAAAUGUAUUUUUAAUUAAAUUUUAUUAUUAAAUUAAAUAGAUCUUAUAAAUAAAAAUUUUAUUUAUUUUUUUAAGUCAUAUUUAGAAUAUGUUUCUUUUUCUUUUUCCUUUCCUACCAAUAGUGAAAUUGUUGUUGAAGAAUGUUAAAAUCCCUGGAAAAAUAUAUUGUUUAUGAUUAGGUGGGGAAGAGUCACAAAUUAUUGGUGAUGUUGUUCCUCAUAAAAGCAUAUCACAGAUUAACGUAACGAGUGAAAUAAACAAACAAGUCCAUUUUUUUUUUUAAAUUCAUAGUCUCUCCUUUUUUUUUUUUUCUCCUCCGCUGCUUGUAAAUCUUUAUCACAAAAUGCUUGACAAAUAAUAUUGAAAUAUUGGAAGAAAUUAAAUAUAAAAAUUUAGAGUGGAGCUAUUAGCACCCCUUGAAAACUCUCAUUAAACCCCUUUUUUAACCACCCCCAUCAUAUAAUUAGAAAAAUUAACAUAUUUAUUUUAAUUCCAUAGACAAUCUUAGCAAUAUUUACAAUAAAGAGAGCCAUGGAAUAAAUUUUUUUUUUUAUGAAAAAAGUAAGCAACAUAAUUAAGAAAAGACUAAUACUUUUAUUGCAUAAAUUAUAAACUCUUACUCGUCUGUGAAGUUUAAGAGUCCAAUCAUGGUAAUAUUCAUUAUCUGCACUAAAAAAAAUUACAUAAAGUCAAGAAAAAUACAAAUUAAUCAAAUGAAAAUACUUAACAUUAAUUAAUAAUAUAUUUUUUACAUUAAGUCCAAAAGUUUUUUUUUUCAUAGUCUUUUUUUUUCUCCCCCGCUGCUUGUAAAUCUUUAUCACAAAAUAUUUGACAAAUAAUGUUGAAAUAUUGGAAGAAAUUAAAUAUAAAAAUUUGUUCUGUAGUGGGCCGAUUAAGUGCUAUUUUCAUCUACGAUCGAGAUAAACACAAGAUGCUUGGGUGCCAUUUGUACAUGGAUUGGUCAUGCUAAAUGUAGGAGUCAUUGAGCCCAGUUAGUUGUUACGGGGCACCCAAAAGUUCUAGCCCAAGAGUUCGGAGUAAGAGACCAAAUAUUGGCGAACACUCGUCCCGUAACAUAAUUUUUGCAUUUAUAGGGCAAAAUUAUAGUAUCAUAGUGGUACUAUAUUACAGAGGGAUUCAACCAUUGAAUCUAGUCCACAGUGGUCAUCAGAGCUAGAUUUAAUGGCUAGAUCCAGCUGUGAUAUGGUAUUAUUGUGUUACCAUAGCUGGACCCGCAUUUAUAUGGGUUAUUAUUGUUGAAUUAGAUGGUCGUACAAACUUGUUAUUUGAUGAUAAUUAUUUCUGUUUUUUCUCUAAAUAAUAUAGGUUUAUUUUUAUUAAUCUCAUUGGCUCUUUAAAUUCAAUAUUUUUAAGUAUGGGAGCAAGCCUAAAUACUAAUGGUAAUCAUUGAUCAAAAGAAAAUUUACACCUGUCACCCUAGUUCAAGUGGCUUUUUUUUUUUAAUAAAUCUAUGUAAAAAUAGUUUUUGUAAAUUUAUACAAGAUUAAAGAAUAUAAACUAACUCAAUAUACUUUUCAUAUUUUACCAACACCAAACUUCAUGAUGUAGAACAUGAUUUUUGUACUUUUUCAGAGCUAUAACUUGAACUAUGAAGCUUAUGGAAAGACGAAUACAAGUAUGUAAACCAUGUUGUAAAUGGUCAGCAAAUUUUUUAGGAAUUCUAAUUUUUGGGUCUCAGAUUGUAGUUUGAAGAUCUUUUACCUAAUUUUUACGCUUUUUUCCAGAUUUCAAUUUUAUUUCUAGACAUCAUAAUUGCAUGCCCUUUUUUUUUAUUCUUUUUAUUUUAAUUAUUAUAAUUUUAUUAAAUAAUCUAUUUUGCCUCUUUUGAUAAUUUCGCUUUCUAUAUGUAAGAGAGAGUAAACCCUAGUUUGUCAGCAACUUUUGAUUAAGAAUCAAUUAAUCAUUAUCAUUUCAAACUUUGUUCUUCAUCGUUUUUGCAUCGUCAUUUUAGUUCUUAAAUUUUUUAAUCAAAAUAUGGUUUCAUGAGAAAUAUGAUCUAGAUUCUUUAAAAAUUGGAAAAUCAAUUUUAUUUUCGUACUUUCAAAAAAAAAUUAUUUUGGGAUAUGUAUAGUAUAAAGAUUAAAAGUUUUAUUAUGUGUAUGUGGAAUACUGGAAUAAAAGCUUAUGCAAUAACCAUUUUGGGCUGUAGCAAAUGAAUUUUAGGCCCAAAUUCUGGCCCACACUAACCUUUAAAUUCACACACUAUGAAGGCCCUGCCUCUAUUCUGCUUUGUCUGAGUUUAUUUUUCAAAUAAUAAUGUUUGUUUCAACAUCAUUUUUUUUUUAAAGUCUAGGGAUGAUUAGUUUUAUAUUUUCUUUACACAUAUAUACUUUAGGGUGUAUUUUUCCACAUAAUGUAUAUUUCAAAUUUAAUUUAAGAACUUAAGUUCGAGUCUAGUACUCUUUUUCUCUUUUUAGUUGUAUGUAUAUAAUUGAAUGGAAGUUGAUUUCUCUCCUGCUAAUUUGUGAGUAGAGCUGUUAUAUUGUUCCAAAUUUAUAAGGAUUGAAAGCUAGACUGUACGGUAGUAGUAUUGAUCUAAGCGAGUUCUAAUUGAAUUUUAAUUGUAAAUAUAUUAGUUGAAUUUUGUUAUAUUAAAAAAAAAAGAGUAAUCAAUUGGGCUAAAACGAACUACUGACUUUAUUAUUGUCUUUUUAAAAAAAAAAAAUCUUGAUUCAAUUACGGUAUGAAAUUAAGUUGAUACAAGCACAAUAGAAUCAUGAGAAAUUAAAACAAAUUGAUAAAAAAAAAAUAGAGAAUUGUUAAGUUUUAAAUAAUAAACAAAUUUAACAUACACAUGUACUGGAUUUAAAUGCAAGAAAUAUCCUAGAAAUGAUCAUUUUUGUUGUUGUCAUUUUAUCAAGACCCUCGAGAAUAUGUGAUUGUGAGUUUCUAAAUAAAGUUAUAAUCUAUUGAAAAUAUCACACAAAUAUAGAAUUAAAAUUUGUGAUGUGAUAUUCCAUAUCGCAGGUGUCUGCUCACUGUUUUAACGAGCCUUCAAUUAUUAUAUAAUAAGCUAUUAAGAGAUGGAAUAUGAAAGAUUAAAUAAUUGUGUGUGAUAGCAGAAGCCAGAGAAGUGAUUCCAAAAAGCAUGAUUAAAUCGACAACAAUCAUUCGGCUCCAAACUCACCACCUAGGCGCAUGACCAAAUUUACAAAACCCUAAAUAAAACAAUUAUUACACAUGUUGGUUAUAAAAUUUAAAUGGAUGAGUGACACAUGAUGUUGGAUUCAAAUAUUAAAAUUCUUAAUAUUAUUGUUUAAUGAAAUUUAUAAUUCAUUUUUAAUUUUUUAUUAAGACGUUAUUUGAUCUUUAUAAUAACAAUAAUCAUAUCGUCACUUGAUUAUCUUUUGUUAAAUUUAAUAUGAGAGCAGUGUAAUUAUUUUCAUGGAAAUGAGUAGAAAUAGCCCACACUUUUUUUAUUAUUAUUUUUGCCACUAUUUUAAAAAGUAUUGAGUUUAACUUGACAAGUUGGUAAAAUAAACAAGUUUUUUAUUGCCCUAAAAAAUUAACUAAGGAUAUGUUUGAUAUUACAGAAGUUAUUUAAGUAGAGAUUUAACUAAAAAAUUUAGUUGUUGUCAAUGAGAGUUUUUAUUAAAAAUUAUAAAAUUUUUUUAAUAGAUAAAUUUUUUAAAGUUCUGUUAUGAAAUAAAUUGUUCAAAUAAAUAAAUGAUAUUUUAGAUAUUUUAAUAUUAAAAAAUCUUUUCAAACUCUAUUCAAAAGCCUAAAAUUUGAACUUUUACUUCUAGGGACAAACAACUUAUUUGAUCUUUAAAAAUUUUAUUAAAAAAAUAACCGCACAAUAAAAAAAAUUAAAAAGAAAAUUUAUAAAAUCAAAUAAAUACUUAUAAUUAUUAGAGAAGUCAUAUUAUACAUAUACUAAUUAAAAGACGUUUGUAACAUGUAAAUAAAUAAAUUAUAUCAAAUGCAUUACGUAAGCCCAAAAAACAAAAAAUAUAUAUAUAUAACAUUUAAAAUCUUACAAGUUGCAAUAAAUUAAGAAGAGAAAAUUUGGGGCUUGAAUUGAGGGCGGUUAGAAGUUGUAUCCAGUAUUAAUUUGGCUUGUACCAAUUUGGUCAAAAUAUUUGACAACUAGUUCGAGUAAUCUGUCAUAUUUAGUAGAAGGAUUAUAUUAUUAUUAUUAUUAUUUUAUAAGCAGCAAAUAGAACUAUAGAAUGACUAAAGCUUUUUUUUUUUUUUUGGUCGGUCAAAAAAUAUAUAUUUAAAUGUAGAAACGUUUUUUAAAAAAUAACUAAUAUUAUGCUAAAAGAAAAAGUUUUUCAGUAAUUUAUUCUAUUUAAUUCAUUAGUGUACUUUUAACUUAAAAACAAAAUAAAAUUUGUAGGAAAAAAAAAAACUAGAGCCACUAUUUCUUGAGUUAGUUUGGAGACUUUUCUCAUCUAAAUUUUCGUGAGUGUAUAAUGAUCUUGUUUCACUUAUGUAUUUAUAAUAUAAUUUGAUUAUUUCACAUUAUUAUAUAAUAACAACCAACCAUUACCACUCCUGGUAUUUUAUGGAAGCUAGAUUAUCAGAAAAUAUUGUAUCGUUUUUAUUUUCUAAACAAACAAUUUUCUUAUUUUACUUGAUUAUAGAACAUAUAUAAAAUCAUUUAUAUUAUUUAAUUUUUCUUAUAGUAAAAUCUCUGAAAAACACAAAUGGGUAAAGAAAUCCAAUAAUUAAAAUUAGUCAUAAAAAAAAAAGAAAAUUACUAAAAGAUAUGAUGAGGGUUAAUGUUUUAUUACUUAAUUGAGUAGUGUUAUCUAUUCUAAAUUUUUUAUUUUAAAUAAAUAUUUAAAAUAAUAUGAUAUUUAUCAAUUAAUUGAUGAAAUAAUGUAAUUAAUUUACUUAAAUUUUAUAAAAAAAUAUUAAUUAAUUAAUAAAUAUCACGUUAUUUAAAAUAAUUAUUUGAAAUAAGAAUUUUAAGAUAAUGCAGAAUUAUUCAACUCUAUUAGACGAAGCGACAAAAGGGCGGGGAGGACAGCUGGCAAAAGCAGAUAAAGCCACGCCACCCAAAAAGGAACACGGCCGAAAGCGUGUCUGAAAGUGGCAGUUCCGUAAUUAAAAUAAAAAACACGAAUCCAUUUUUGUAAUUUUGUCGGAACGAUUGGCUGUUGCUCUUGCAUGCAAUCAAAUAUCUGACUCAGACGCGAACGAAUCUCUAUCGCGCUGUCAUUGCGCUGUUUCACACACUUUUCACGAUGGGAUAAUUACGAAUAUUUCCCUAUUGUUUAUAUUUUACUAAACAAAGAUACAAGUUUUUCAUUUGUUUUAGAUUGAAACCCGACCUCUCUUGAAAGGAUUAAAAUACUUUUCUCUUUUUUCCCCUUUUUUAACUAACAAGUAGGUAAUAGAAAGCUUUAAUAAUUUAAAUACAAUUUGUUCAUCUCAGUAGGGUCAAAGGAUGGCGAUUUUUGAGAUUAGCUCGUAAAUCUCAUAUGAAGUUAAUAUAAAAUUAGUGAGUUUAGACUUGUUAGAGAAUAUGUCUUAUUUUUCAAUAAGAAUUUCUUAAGAUAUUUGAUUCUUUAGUAGGAUUCCUAUUUAAAGAAUAAGUAAUUUUUCCUUAAGAAUUUGACUUAUUUAAGGAGGAAUACUACUAGUAUAAGAAAAUGAAUACUUUUUUUUUUACAAGAAAUAAUCACUAAAUAUAAGGAGGUUGGGUUCAUUUAUUUGUAUAACACAGCAAUCAGUUUUUUGCAAGUAUAUAGUUUAUAGUGCGAGAGAAAUAAUAGAUUUAUUGAGAGAUUUGGUGUUAUUAGAGUUUUAGAUGUGAGGAAAAAUACUAGAGUGAUUUUAAUAAAUUUUUCUCUCGUCGCCCUUGGAGGCCGUGGUUUUUCUCCAGUAUAAGAGAUUUGCACAUAAAUUUUUGUGUUGUGUGAUUGGUUCUUUUUUCAUCUAAUUUUUUAUUUAUUAUUUUGUUUGAUAUUUUUACUUGUAAGAUCUUGGGCAGGAUUAAAAAUUACCUGACAAGACUAAUAUAAAAUGACUCAAUUAUAUUAUUAUCUUGUCAAACUUAAACUAAUAGAAAUUCUAUCUAGUAUUUAAAGAAAAAAAAAAGAAAAUUCUAUCUAUUUACUUAUCAUAUCAAGGAUUUUAAUUUUUAAUCUAACACGACUGUUAAUUCAAAAUUAUGUCACUCAUUUAAUAUUUUUCUAAUAUAUUCUCAAAAGUUUUGCUUAUUUAAUAUAUUUUACAAUAUUUUUAAUUAUUAUCAAUCUAAAUUCUAAUUAGUUUUGGUCUAAAUAUAAUUAAAUAAUUUUUAAAAUAUGACAAAUAUAAUAUAUAUAAUUCUAUUUGUCAAAACAUAGCCAACCGACAUAACAUAAUUAAUUGAAUAGUUAACUAUUUUAUAAAUAAUUUGUUAGUUAAUUGUUUUAUAAAUAGUUUUUUAUGACAAGAAUUCUUAACCAAAAUCUGAAACAAAUUAUUAAAAGAUUAAUAUAAAUUCACAUUAUUAAUAUUUGAUGACAUAAUAUGAACAUAAUACACCAACGGCCAACUCUAAUGAGAUUUCAAUUAAGAAUCUAUUUCAUAAUUACGUCUUUAUUAGAGAAUAUAUAAAGGUUAUGGACCUGAAAGUUAUUGUACCAUUUGCACAGUUGAAGACUUGAAGUUUCUCAAAACUAGUUAAAAAGCACUUUAACUAAAAGCUGUCCAAAAGCACUUCUCUUUCUCGCUGUCUCUGCCCCUCGGGCUAUAUAUUAAAGGCUUCUUGUGCAUCUUUGUUCUUGUUAUCUCCAUCAGUACUGUACAUCAAGCUCUAAGCUUUAGCUCUCGCUUUUUCAACUUUCAAGACUUCAAAGCCUUCUCUUUUCAUUUCUAACAUCACAAUUAAUUAACAUGGAAGAUCGUAAGGAGGUAUUUGUUUCUCCAUCUCUCUCCAACUGUGUUUCUGGCUUUUUAAUUUCCUCAUUUGGGGUGUUUGUUUGCUGAGAAAGUUUAUAUAGGAAAGAAUGAGAAAAAUUUAUAUCUUUUGAGUUUUUGUUUAGCAUGUUAGUGAACUUCUGAUGAAUUUGCUAAUGAAAGAGCUUUUUUGUUUCUUUUUUUUUUCCUUUAAAGCAAGCAUUUUCCAAUUUCGGAUGAUUAAAAAUCCAGCUUUCAAAGAAUAUGAGUUUCCAGUUUUCACUUUCAGGUGGGUUUAAUUUGGUUGAAUUACUUGAAAAAAUUCUAAGCUUUUUUUCUUUUUGGGUAGAACAAAAAAUUCUAAAGGCUCUGAUUAUAUCAGUUUAGCAUUUUUCUUAAGUUUUUGUAUAUCUUGGUGAUGUUAUUAGUUGUUUUUAAUUGACUUUUUGGUCAUAUAAAGUGAAAUUCCUUUGUAAACACUUCUCUUAAGUGAGAUGUUCAAAGAAGCAAUCAUUUUACUUUGUCAAAGCUGAGAAACAGUCAAAGCUGCCACUUUUUUUGAUUUUUUUUGCCUUUAUUUUUCUCCUUAGAUAUCGGGAUGUGUGCUAAUGGAUCUUUGCAUUCAUAGGUUCUUUUGCUUCUUUCACACAUGCAAACUGUCUUUGUAGUCCACAGACUUCGAAUCCUUACAAGGAGUAUUAAAUCUUUAAAAUACUUAAAAGAAUUCAUUGAUCAAUGAUCCAUAAUGGUUCUUGAAGUGAUAAUUAAUUACAGUUUGAAGAUUAUGACGGGGAUUGCUUUGAAACUUAAUAACCACUUACGUUCAUUAAAAAAAAAAAUGUUUUCUUUUAAUGUGAUUAAUGUUUUACGUUCUUUUGUAUAGAAAAAUGCUCCAUGGCUAUCUGUGCCGCAAUUUGGGGACUGGGACCAGAAGGGACAGGUGCCUGAUUAUUCAUUGGAUUUUUCAAAAAUUAGAGAAAUGAGGAAGCAAAACAAAAGGGAUGUGUCAAGAGCAAGUCUUGGCAACGAAGAAGACUUCAUUAACCCCACUGCCCCCAGUAACAACAAAGCCCACAAUAAUCAAGAUGAUGAGCAGCAUCAUUUUCAUCAGAGCCAUCACCACCACUCUCCAACCGUGAGAAAUUUUCAUUUUUUCACUCAUUAUCUUCGUAGAAAAUCUUAUAUGAGAUCGAUGUGGUGCCGCUUAUGAGUCUUUUUUUUUUUAAAAAAAAAAAAGUGUUUGUUAAUUGGCAACUAACUUUUGGUUGUUAGAUUAAUGAGAAAGAAUGAAGCCAAUUUCAAAGUAGAGUAAUUUAGGACAUUUCAAAUUCUGGAAGUAGGUUGUUGGCUGACAACACUUGUAAGGAAUUGAUUGGUUGAUUGUAACAAGUUAGGAAAUAGGAAGUGGUUUCAUGGUGAUAUGAGACUCUGAAAACAGAGUUUCUGGGCAACAUAAUUGGAUAGAUAGAUUCAAUGCAAGUACACAAAUGAUAGUUGGUGAGUUUUAGUUAUGGAGAUAUAGAGAGUCUGAUAGACAUCACAAACAUUUGCAAGAGCAGCGGCGUACAUGUGCUGUAUAUGAUUGUAGGGUGAUCACUUAGCUGUUAUUAUUAAAUCUUGUGGGAUUGAUAUUUCCUAAUAAGUAGGUAGCAGCUAACUUACAAAUCUAACAUGGUUUUGAUUUAACUGGUCAACUUCAUUGAGUGAUGGAAGGAAAAGGACAUAGGUCGGUUGAGUAGGUUUAUCCGGCCUUGCCAGUUCAGGAAUCUUGUAUAUUUUAAGCCUCUCGUUACUUAAUUGGUUAGAAAUAAUCUGUUUAAGUGAAAGGAAGAUAUAGAAAAUAAUAAACCUGAUGUGCAAAGUGAAAUGGUCAAUGCCCUUUUUUUGCCUCCUUCCCUUUUGUUUUUUGACUGAUGUUUUCUUGUUUAGGGUGUUGGUGUUACUGCUAAUAAUCAAAGCUUAAACCUUAAGUGCUGUCCGAGUCAAUAUUCUCUUGGAGAUUACAUAUUGAAUGGAUCUUGGGAAAUUAUUUGUGUGCAAAAAAUUUUUAAAAAAAAUUAGGAUUGUAGAAACCGAUAAGUACAGAAUCUGUGAAUGCCAGACAAAAUUCUUUGAAGUCUUUGUAACGGUUGCAUGCGAGUCUAUGGCUUGGUUCUAAUAAACAAGUGGGGCUCUUAGGAUCUACAUACUUUAAUAAUUUAAAAUUCUUCAAAGAUCAUUUUCAAUAUGAUGUGAUAUAGAUGUGUGCUGGGAACCAGGCAACAUAAUUUUUGUACUUGAUCCAAGGUGGUGUCUUUGUAUACUUAGGCCACACAAGAGUGCAAGUGGUGCACAUGCAAUAAUUGUUUUAAUCUACAAACCAGUUUGGGUGGUUAGGGGUUGGCAUAUUACCAAUGUACAAGAUUCACAUGAAUGUAGUUAAUCUUUAGUUGAAGAUGUAGUUAGUCUUUAGUUGGAGUGUUGCUAAGGUCCCAGCUCAAGUCUGCAUUUUAUAAAAUAAGGAUUUUCGCAUCCUCAGUAUUUCUAUUUCUUUUUUCUCUUGAAAAAAUGAAUAGCAAAAUAGAAAAACAAGGAUGUUCUGCUAGACUGAAUAUAUCGACAUCUUUACUGACUUGAAUAAGUGAAGAAGAUUAUAGGGGCUUCCUCAUAAAUGGCCGGUUAAAGAUGAUCGGCAAGUUUAUAGAACAUAUUCUGAAUCAUUUGUCAUCUUUUGCUGCAAUUUCUGAAAUAUCUUUUCUCAAUUUGGCUAGCCUUGUUCUUACUAUGUUCCUGGUUGAUUCUUCUUGGACAGACUAGGAGGAGCUUUUUGAGCUACUUCAACUGUUGUGUAAAAGCUUGACGAUCAAGUGAAGGCCAAUCUCUCUACUCUGUGUGCUGCUGCUGCACCUUUUUCUUUUCACUAUUCUUAAUUGGGUUCUAUUUCUCUCCAUUUUCAGAAGCAAACAAUGAUGACAUUGAUAUAUUGCUGCUUCUUGCCGCUAGCUUCUUUGAUCAAUCUCAUGAUUUCGGUUUGAUUUUUGUUCUAUGUAAUGAAAUAACUAUUAGAAAUGUGAGAUGAGAUGUAAAUUUUAUUAUUUUUGAAGAUGUAAAUCUAUACACUAGUGUUGACUGAAAUCAUGGAGAGCUGACUAAUACAAAUUCAUAUCUUGGCUCUUCCAUCACUAAAAUCACUACAACAAUCAAUUGAUCAGAACCAAAGUACACAGAAAUUACCAUUACAUAAUCAAAAGCCUCCAAAAAUUCAGAUGACAGCACUUCUUUGCUGAACCUUCGCCUUCUCAGCAUCAAUUAUACUCUCAACCAAUUUCACUGCAACAUCAAGCUUCCCCUCCGCAUUCACCACCACGUAAUCAAAAUUUUUCACAUGCUUUAUCUCCUCUCUAGCCGUAGCAAUUCUCACUAACAACUCCUCCCUACUCUCAGUCUUCCGCUCAACCAAUCUCUCCACCAACGCCGUCUCACUCUCUGCCAUCAAAAACACAAACACCGCUGAAUCCCCCAAAACCCUCCUCAAAGUCUGAGCUCCUUGAAUGUCCACUCUCAAAAUUAUAUCAUACCCUUUUGCCAUAUACUCCCUAAUUUGCUUCUUUGGUAUCCCCUUAUAAUCCCCAUACACUAGUGCAUAUUCCAACAGCUCGUUUUUAUCAAUCAUUGUUAAAAACUCUUCCUUCGACACAAAGUAAUAAUCUUUCCCAUUCUCUUCGCCAGGCCGCAUUGGCCGACUAGUAGCAGUCACAACAAAACGAAGCGAAUCACGCGAUUCCCUCAGCUUCUUUAUAAGAGCAUCUUUGCCAACCCCACUUGGCCCACUAAUUACAAUUAUCAAAGGAUUUGGAGGAGGACAAACUGGGUUUGAAUCGAAGGCAUGACCCAAAGAAGCUUCAAGAGACCGUAAAAGCUCAGCCUUUUUAACUGCAGCAGUCUGGGUAUGGUUCAUUCUGAGGUUCGAUGAGAAAAAAUGUGGGGUUAGAGAGAGAGAGUGAUGGAAUCUUCGUUGUGGUUGCUUAACUUUAAUGGGGUUAUUUUGGAAGGCAAAUAGGGAGUUGGUUUUUGAGAUGCUGGAGAGAGAUAACGAAGUGCAGAGUCGGCGAAACAUGAGGUUAUUUUGUUGCAGAGUGUAAAAAAGAACACAAAACACAAAUCAGACACCAAUAACAUUACCAAAACAAAAAACCCUACCCCACUCAAAAUUUUUCAGAACCCACACACCAAAAUUAAAUUUGCACAAGGCACUUGACCCCAGAAUCUCCUUGCCACCGCUGCUGCUUAACUUGACAAAGACCCUGAAGUGGGCUUGGCGUGGUGUGUAAAUUAUACUGACGGCAGCAUGGUUUUGUGAUUACCAAUUUUAAGGUAAUAUAUCCCUAGCAAUACACACACAGACACAAAUGAGAGCUCAGUUCAUGAAAGUAACAUAUGCCAAAGCUCAAAAACUGCAAGUUUUAAUAUGACGUAAUCUCAAAUAAAAGAUUAGAAGCCUGAAUGCCACUAGAUGAAUUAACUUAAAUAUAACAUAAUUGAGACUUUUUAGAGUUUAUAGGUUCACUAUAAGUCGUCCAGUCCAGACUAUGAGCAGACACAACAGAAACUAUGGCUUGGUUGCUAUUCAAAGGGCCAUAUAUUUCUUGAAUAUUCAGUUAUCAAUUUGAUGACCAAGAACAACCUAUAACGGCAUUUAAACUUAUCCUUCUAUCGUUUAAGUUGGCAAACUAAGAACCCAAUCCGAUACUCAAAUUCGGGUUCAUCUCUGUUACAUGGCUCCAGGCAUGCGCUACCUUCCAAAUGCAAUCCAAAAUACUAUUAUAUAAUACAAGAAUUUUAUCUCAAACAAUCAAACUCACAACAGCCGACGUAAUUGAAUUCUCUUUUAUUGUCACAAAUCGUGCCGUGCUUCCAACCAACAGUGCCGGAAUAUCACAAUUCACAAGCUGUUCUAAAUUCUGCUGUAGAUUAUUUUAUACACAACAUGACGAAUUUUAUUAAAUAUAAUCAAGUGUAACACAAAAGUAUAACUUAAUUGCAAAUUCUAAAAUCAUUAACAAAAAUACACCAAAUGAUUUUUUAUUAAAUGUAGCUUAAUUAAAAAGAGAGAGAGAGAUAGAGAGUUCUUCACUAACAAUUUAGAAAUUCAAGACUACAAAUCAUUACAGGUAGAAUGAAAUUAAAACAAUUAAACAAAUCACUGAAAUAGAUCCGACUUGAAGAUAAUAAAUUCUUACUUGAAGGACCAGUAGUGGGCAGACAACGUGGCGGCGGCAGCCGCGACGCGGUACCGGCGGCGGGUGGCCGAUUAGUGAGGGCUUGUUCUCAGUUUUGAGUUUUGAAAGAGACGGAGCAGCAGAGCCGUUUAGAAUUUAAUUAGGAUUGCGAGCUUCUCCACUCCAGUAAAUGAAAAACGAUUGGGAAAAAAAAUUGAGCUUUUCCACGUGUCAAACCCGCAUUGGCUACCAGUUUCUGGCGGCUUCUCGUUUCUUUGGCUUCAUUCUAUAAUUUCCAGGGCUCUCUCUGUUAGUCUUCAGCGUUCACUGAGGGCAUAGUAAGGUAAAAUUUAAUCUCUAAUUUUUCACCUUUCUGUGUUUUGUUUAUUUUUGUUUAAUUAGUAAAUUUCUUGAAGCUUUUAACUUGCACUACUAGAUUGAGGCAGCUCGAAGUGUUCUUUUUUGAAAUUCAUAUCAUUAUAAAAGUGUAAUCUUGGUUUAAAAUUCAUUUCUUUUGAGACUCAAGAGUAUAUAGCUAUUCCAUACAUGAUCAAAUAUUUGAGUUUGUUUGAUUUGAGCUCUUCUUUUAUUUCACUCAACACAGUUAGUACAGUGAACUUUAUAGGUUUUUUCUUCAAAAAUUAUGCAUUAAAGAUACAGACACUGGUACUUAACUUUUGUUUUUCUUUGAUUAUGAUUCUGGAAAUAGACUUCAGACUUAGCAAGCAAUGGCAGUUACUUUCUACGAUCUCAACUCGGACAUUGGUUUGAAGAAACUUGACGAUUGCCUGCUCACUCGCAGUUACAUUACUGGGUAUAUUUCUAUUAUGUCAAAAUAUCAUUGAGAAGUUAUGGUGGGAAAUGUCAUUUCCCUUUUGUUGUGCUUUUAUCAGGUACCAAGCUUCAAAGGAUGAUAUAACUGUUUAUGCAGCACUUUCUAAACCACCGUCAUCUGAAUAUGUGAACGUGUCUCGCUGGUACAACCACAUUGACGCGCUUUUAAGGAUUUCGUAAGUUUCUCAUCUUGUAAAAAGUUCCCAGUGUUGUGUUAAAUUGUGUAAUAGAUUUUAAAUAGUUUCAUUUUCCAUGAAACGUUUUUGCUUACUUCUGAGCAUUGCCGAUUCAGUGGUGUUUCUGCAGAAGGGUCUGGUGUCAUUGUAGAGGGAUCUGCUCCUAUUGCAACUCUUCCAGUUGAUGACAAAAAGGCAAGUAGUGCUGUUCUGUGUUCAUGUCAUAGGCACGUGACUGCCUUUUGUAUGUUUAAUUAAUAAUUGACGAUUGAACAAGCAUUUUGCUUAUUCCGGGUUCAGUUUUUUCCAUUGCUCUGGACUCCUAUUAAUUUUUAGGGUAAAAGCUUGUUUAGUCCCUAUAUUAUGAGGUUAGUGUCUAUUUAGUCCCUGUAUUUUUAAAAAUACCUCAAAGCGUCCCUGCUACUAAAUAUUGACACUUAUGCCAUUAUUUUUUAUUAUUUUUAACUUAUUUUUACAAUAUUACAUUUUUACAAUAUUACAUUUUUACAAUAAUAUUUCUUUUUUGGAUAUUAAUAAAGAAAUUAAAUUAUCAAAUUAAACUCAAAAAUAAAAUAAAAACAAAAAAGGUAUAUAUUAAUUAUUUUUUUCUUUUUAAUAAUGUCUAAAAAAUUAUUAUAAUAGGGCAAUAUUAUAAAAAUAAGUUAAAAGGAACAAAAGAUAAUGGCGAAAAUGUCAAUAAUUUAAUGGUAGGGAUGAUUUGAGGUAUUUUUAAAAAUAUAAGGACUAAACGGACACUAACUUCAAAAUAUAGGGACUAAACGAGCUUUUACCCUAAUUUUUAUAAUCAUGGGGUUCGGAUUUGGAGGCGGUUGGCUUAUUUGGGAACUUAUAUCAAUUAUGCUCCUCGCUUGGUUAUGAAAUUUGGCUAUACUUAAUUCUCAGGCUGCUGCCGCUGACGAUGAUAAUGAUGAUGUGGAUCUGUUUGGUGAGGAGACAGAAGAGGACAAGAAGGCUGCUGAAGAACGCUCAGCUGCCAUCAAAGCAUCUGCAAAGAGGAAAGAAUGUAAGCUUCUCUUCUUAUUGACUGAUUAAUUUGUUUAUUAACAACAGGCUCAGCUGUUUUGUGCUUAAUUUUUUCUAUUCUACAUUUUGAAUUCCCUCGUAUUUCAUUCUCAGCUGGCAAGUCAUCAGUUCUAUUGGAUAUAAAGCCAUGGAAUGAUGAGACUGAUAUGCAAAAGCUCGAGGAAGCAGUACGCAGCAUUAAGAUGGAAGGGUUGCACUGGGGAGCAUGCAAGUCUUUUCUAUAUGCACUUCAGCUAUAAUUUCCUUUAUGUUUGAUGUCAAUAAAUAUAUCUUCAAUGCUUGCUGCAGCUCAAACCACCUCCUAAUUAAAUUUCACCUUUUCUCGAUCAGAAGAAUGUAAUUGGACAAGCUGAUAUUAAACUUACAGUUUAGUUUCUGAACUUCAAGCUAACAUGAACAUGUUUGAUGUCACAGCCAAACUUGUACCUGUUGGUUAUGGCAUAAAGAAGUUGCAGAUAAUGCUUACCAUUGUGGAUGAUUUGGUGUCUGUUGACAAUCUCAUUGAGGAGCAUCUGAUGGCUGAGCCAAUAAAUGAAUAUGUCCAGAGCUGCGAUAUUGUAGCCUUCAACAAGAUAUGUAAGUGUAUCACAUAUGUAUAUGUAUGCUUGUCUAUUCAUUUAAUUCAUACACAUGCCAUUAGCAACCUUUCCAUAAAACUUCCAAUAAUCCUAAUCUUGGGCUCUAUAUUUGUCUUACUCAUGUAACAGAAUCCAAGAAUCCUUGAUGACCGGUGCUGGUGAGGUUUCCGGAGGAAGUUCUUGGUUAGCUGGUCACUGCAAAGUGGUUACUAUCCUGUUUUUUGUUCCACAGCCUUUUCUUCUGUUAUAAUGUUUGUUCUUGGAGAGUGUUGUGUCCUAUUGCUAUGUUUGCAAUGGAGUAUUUAGAGAAUUGUUCUGUACGAUUAACAGAGAUCCGGAAUGAAAAGUAAAUCAAAAGUCUCUUACAACUUUUACCAAGGUGUUCUCCUGUGCUCCUGUUAGAAGUCCUUCCUAUAACAGAGGUUAAUCAGUCCAUUUUUUUCUGAUUCUUAGAUGGAAGAAUCCCUAGAAGGAGACGGCUCCUCAGUGGGACCAGAUGAAGAAAGCUCCCCUUACUUAUUGACUUGGUGGAGUAAUAAAGUAAGCGAUUGAUAAUUGAUUCUUCUUAUGGAAUAGUAUGAGGAUGAUGAGCAUUAAUCAUCCUGAUUAUGGCUCUGGAUCAAUCUGAACCUAUCUAUAGAUUGACCCAAACAUAUAAUCAUAAUUCCCAAGCAAACAAAAGAAAGCAUGCCUACAAGGAAUCUUUCAAUUGGUAUCACCAAAAUUUAACAAGUUCACUAGAAUGAAUAGUAAGAGGAUGUAGACUUUUUGCAUGAACAAUUUUGUACAUUGCAAUGCAGCACUAAAAUAUUUGUUCUGACUUAUUCAACUCUUAAAAAAAUCAAAGACAUAUAAAGUGUAUUAAUAAGUCUUGUGUAGAGAACAAUACAAGUGAUACUGUAAUAGUGCACUUUCAGUCUUUAAAUCUUACACAAUCUCUUCUCAUGAUAGAUUAAUGACAACGUAAAAAACACUCUGGAGAGAGGCAAGUCCCAAAAUGCACAAAAACUACGAUCUUUGUCGUACAAAAAAUUAGCAUAGGAGAUUUUAACCAGGCAACAUAGUGGAUCACAACCAAAGAGCUUGACCACAAAAUAGCUUAAUUACACAUCAAGCUGUCUCCUAGGUCUACCUAAUCUAAUAACAGGCUCUUACUCCUUACGGUGCAUGAAGUUUAGCAGAACAACUUUGUCGUAUAACACCAACAAAUUUUAAUUCUUAUGAGAAUCACACCUUUUUGAUAAUCUGAACAACAUCCUCGUCCUCGAGCUCAUGCUCCUGAUGAGUAUAAAGCACAAAUAUUUCUGGUUAGAUCAGCAAAGGAGGUGAAGAUGAAUUUAAAAAAAAAAUACAAUUAAAACCAAAAAACAAAGAAAAGAAGAAUGAAGACAGGAACUGAGAACACGACAAUCGGGCUAUAGAGUCAACCUUGCCAACUCUUUGUGGCUUGUGUUUUGCGCUUGACCCCCAUACCAGAGCACUGCACAUCAGGUUUCCAGAUCAAAGUAUUUAGUGCAGUAUAAAAAAAGGGACUGAAAAAUGAAUUCAAAUUGGUUUCCAAUAUCCAUGUUCUUCAUUUCUUAAGAAAUUCAAGCUUUUUGGAGCCAUAAGUUUGGGAAAGAAUACUCACUACUUAAAUUGUUUAACCAUAUCUUUGUGAAUUCGCUCGCAGAAAUCCUCGACUGUCCUCUUUUUAGAUGACAAAAUCACAGGGUCUUCAUAGUCCGGAUUCAUCCCUUUGGGCUUUGUGUAUAUACGAGUUAAAUUAAGAUAUUCCCAUAUCUUCUCCAGCAAACCAUCAAGGUUCCAUUCCAGAUGCGCACUGCACAGUAGUUAUCACAAUUUACAAAACAAAUGAGCAAAUAAAGCCCAUGAAAUCCUUGAAAGCGUGCUAACUUAUAAUCUUACAGCAAGAAAGCAGCAAAUGUUUUCAAUUUGAUGCAACCAUAUUUUACAUUAGUUCAGGAAACUCCAAAUGGAAUAAUGGAACAGAGAUCAAUGACAAAAGACUUGAAACAAUUAUGGAAAGAGACAAAUAAAAGUGGAAAGAACUUUACCUAACUGGGCAAUAGUGAGGAAGCUUAUCCAAAAUCUCCAGCUCUUCAAGAGUAAUCUGAUCAAUUUUGUUUAUGACAUAGAUGCAAGGCAUAUAUAUCCUACUGCCUUCGAUGACAUCAAUAAGGUCAUCAGCUGUUGCAUCGUAUCUCAGAGUGAUAUCAGCAUUAUGAAUUCUGUAUUCACUGCAUAUUGCCUUCACAGUCUCAAGGUCAAGAUUUGUGUUGGUAACUGUUGAGGUGAAAUUGAUACCUCCCUUAUCUUUCUUCCUGAAUGUCAGAUUAGGUGGUUGUUUGUUUAACCUAUUAAAAGAAUACAACUUAUCAAAUUGAUCUAAAAAAUAUAUAAUUACACAAAAGUGAGGUGGUCAAGGUUAAAUUGAAAAAAAUAAUAAUUAAACAAACUAAAAGCAAAGAGGAUAAGUUCUGGAGUGUGGGAAAAAGACAUCUAUGUUCUCAAAUGCAGAUACUGUUAUAAAUAUGACUUAAGAGGCAUAAGAUAGAUGUUAAAAGGAAUAUUAAAGAAGCACGGUCCACUGGGUAGUGCUGAAUAGAGUAAGCUUUAGAAAAUUACACAGAGAAGAGUAGGACCAACUACUGUAUGAUUUAUCAAAUAUCAAAGGAAUGCUUAACGUAUUGCAAAUAGCAAUAGAAAGUCCUUUAGGGAAUUUGGUUAUUAACACUUUCUAGGAAAGAAAAAAAAAAGAGAAUGCCAACCAACUAAAAACAAUUGGCUCACAAUUUUUAAAAUCAGCAGAUACAAAAUGUUUAAAAUUUAUUAGCACUAGCAUCAAACUAAAAAACAACUGAACAGAUGGAGGCAUGAAACCAGAGAAACUAUACAGUGAAAUAAAGUGCAAUUGAUAUACCAGAACACCAGCUUAGAGCAUGAAAAUAUAACAGAUACGUUCAGAUUACCUAAUGCCAAAUCCCUCAAGCUCUUUCUCUAUCAGACGCUUGUGAGUUAUUGGCUUUAUUGCAUCAAGAACAAUUAAGAUACAAUUGCAUGUCCUAGCAGUACUGAUAACCUGAAUUGCAAAUAAAUGACUUUUCAAUAAAAUGAUUCCCAAAGAGUAGAGCAUACAAAGAUGCAAAUGAAACAGAAAUAUCCAAACUAGACAACCAGAUCUGCGUACAAAACGCAUAAAAGGAGAGAGGGAGGAAAAAAAAGUAAUGUUAAAAAUAGAACCACAAAAUAGUAGACAGAUAAAAUUCAAAAAUAGAACCACAAAAUACUAGACUGAUAAAAUUCAAUCUCAUCAUUAUCAGUAACGACCACAAUAACAAAGACAAGAUUGAAAAUUUUCCAGCUACAAAAAAAGCAUGAUGCUCGAAAGAGAUUCUCCAAAAUAAAAGUAUACACCAAACAUAUUAUGAUUACCUGUCUUCCUCUACCCUUCCCAUCCUUAGCACCCUCGAUGAUACCAGGAAGAUCCAACAACUGCAAAUCAUAAUAGCUGCAGCAUUAUAUUUAUCUUUAAAGAAAGAACCUAUAUUAGGAAGGAAGAUUGAGAAUCAUGAGGUUAUAAAAUCAUGAAUCUAAUCUAAAUGUGUGAAUUUAUCAAAUAACAUUUUGACAUGAUGGCAUGCAUUAUGACAAAUUGCCUCUCCAUUAUUUUUUAUCAGAUUCUCAAAUAAGUCAAAUUUGUGAAACUUAUAUGAUCAACAUUGAACCCAUAUCCUAUUACAAAACUUGAUAUAUGAAACCCUAUGGAUCAUAAAUACCGAUCAGUGAAUUUGAAUUCAAUAAAAGAUUCAAAAUCCAAGUUCACAUUCUUUCUCACACUUGCUCCCUCACACUUUUUGGUUUUUUAAUAGAAAUAUAACACGUAGAUCAACCGAAAUAUAACAAGUAGAUCCUACACAUUAUGCUUGACUGAAGCUCCUCUAACUAGAUACAAAAAUAUAACAACCUCUUGACAUAACUUUCAUCAUUCAACUCGAAAUGAUAAACUAAAUAGUAUUUUAUAUUUCAGGUUGUGGCACUGCCCAAAAUAAAAGUACAAAUAAUUAACAAUACCUGAAUUUUGGCACCUCUAUACGUAAUCACACCCGGGAUACAGGUUAAAGUAGUAAAUUCAUAUGAAGCAACCUGCAAACCAGAAAGAAGAGGAGUCACACUAAGGAAGCAGAAAUUUUACAAAUAAACAAGUUUCAUCUCAUCUUUCCCGUCCCCUUAAUGCAGAACACAUUAAUGAGAUCAAGAGGAGUCACACUAGGGAAGCAUAAAUUUUACAAAUAAACAAGUUUCAUCUCAUCUUCCCCAUCCCCUUAAUGCAGAACACAUUAAUGAGACCACAAACAACAAUUUCAUACCUCUGAAAAUGUCCCUGUUAACUUAUUCAAAAGUGUAGAUUUCCCAACUGAGGGGAAACCGACUAGACCAACUCUAGAAUCUCCACUUUUAGUGACAUCAAAACCUUCCCCACCACCACCACCACCUCCUUUGGACGUAGGUGUAAGAAGUUCCCUUCGUAGCUUUGCAAGUUUAGCCUAAAAACACAAAAAUAAUCACAUAUAGCAUCGUCAAAAUAUAAAAUUAUAAUGAAACAGCAAGAGGUGAGUGUGAAUGAUGAUCAAAUGAGGCUGGGACUCAGAAAGGUUAGAUCAUUUCUAAUACAUAACCAAUAGUUAUCAUGUUAACUAUCACAUUUGAAAAAUUAUGUUUUCACAGUUCUUCAACUGAAUAUAAAGAAAACCAGUCUCACAUUAGCCUCUAACAAGGUGAUCAUCAAAAGUCAACUAUAACAUCAAAUUCAAUACGUUGAUCAUGCCAAAUAGACUUUCCUCUGGCAUCCAGUUAUGAGGUAUAAUCUUAUUCCUAUUUCAAAAUUAUUUAAUGUAGGGAAGGAUUGGUUCUAAAAAUAAGUCAUAAGAUACAUUAGUGAAGCAAACAAAGGUGCUAAAACUAAAUUGAUAGUAAAAGAUAAUAUCCCUUCUAAAUUGGCCACACACUAUACUCUUCCAAAUCAGAACAUAAAAGUGGAAUAUAUUCCCCUAAAAUACUGGAGCAAUUUUCAUUGCUUAUAUAAGAAAAGGAAAUAUUUGAGAUAUAAAACUUCACAAACAACUCACUCUAUGCAGGCAACGAGCAUGAUUAAACAUACGUUAUUUUUUAACGUUUACAAAUUAUUUACAAGCUUAUCACAAGCUGUGAAAAGAGUGGGGAUUUAUCUGAAGGUUUUCAAAUUAUUAUUUUCAUGAAUGAUAAAAGAAUCAAUAUUUUAAGUAAUAAAAGGGGAAUUUUUAAGUAAUAAGGGGGGAUACUUCACUAAAUUGGGGGUGAGUGGAAAUUCAAAAACCUAAGAGGAUCUGAUUGAAAUUUUCCAUUGCACCACACUUUGCAAUUCAACAGAAAAAUUCAUGUACCUUGAGCAAGCCAAGAUGAUGCGCUGUAGCUUUGUUCUUCUGAGUCCUCGCCAUCUACAACACACACAAACAAAGCCAGAUGUUCAUAUUCUAGUCUCAUAUAUUCAAUUCUCAAUUUUCACGAACAUAUUUUUGAGAGUUAAUAAAACACAAAAACAAAAAAAAAUUUGAAAAAAAUAAUUAGUUGAAAUAUCAAUAAAAUUAGUAAAAUUCAAACGGAGUUACUUCAUCUUCGAUGUCCUUGAUUUUCUGCAUGACAGUCGCCAUUGUCGCAGAUGAGACAGGAUUAUCAAACAGGUAAUCAGAUCAACGGUUAACCGGCGGUUCAGAUUGAGCUGUGACGAUUAUCUCUGCGUUAAUUUGAGAAACAGAGAGAGUUUUUGAGGUAGAAGAAGAAGACGAAGGUCCUCGAAGAAAACGGCGAAGGGUUUUAAUUGAAGAUAAAACUCUGGGCUCAGCCCGAAUUGCCCAUGUCGCCCGUUGGGCCGAACGGAUUACGGCCCAGUCUAUUUGUUUGUUGGAUGACGGUUCACUUUUUCUUUUUAACAAGAAGAAGAAGAAGAAGAAGAAUAAAAUCAGUAAAUUGACCAAAAAAAUUUUGUAAUUUGAAGACUUCAUAUAGUAUGUACAAUAAGUCAUGACGUAAACAAUAUUUCUCACAUCUCGUUAAUCUAUUCUUUUGAUACCGUUCAUGAAGUAUUACAAAAUUGCAAUUGCUUUAUGUGUGUAACCAGUCGUUAUAAGAUUGGUAAUAUGGAUUACCGCGAAAUAUAAUUUUAAAAAUAUUUUUGGUCCUAUUUAGUAUUGAGUUUAAACUGUGGUUUAAAAAUUAAGUUGAUUUAAUCUACUACUUAUAUGAUAAAAAAUUUAUAAAUUUUUUAUAAUUUUUUAUCAAAUCUAUUAAGUCUAUUUACUACAUACUAAUUUUUAUUUUUUAAUUACAAUUUUUUUUUUACACCAACUGUAGUUUAGAAGUUAUAUCGUCUCAUUUUCAAAUAGGGCAUUUGUCAAAUAAUACCUAUUGUUUAUCAGUUCAACAUUAUAAAAAUGAUUUUUACGAUCACAGCCAUAUUUUGAAUUAAAGCCAAAAGACUACUAUCAAAGAAUAUCAUUUAUUUUGAUUUUGAAACUGGUAAAAUUGUUGAAGCCCGUAAGAAGAAUAGAAAACUUGCUAGUUGCUAGAAAGGGAACGAGAAAAUGGCUGUAAUUUUCCAUUCAAUAGACUAGGGGCAAAAAAUUCAUACAAUUGGAUUUGGUUAAGGAUGUUAGAGGCUCAAGCUACCUAUAUACAAAAAGGGCCUGUAGGAUGUUAGAAGUCAAUUCCCAGAAAAUAUUUCUCUCCACAGCAAGUUUGAUCUUUAGCUAGUGUGUUCUUUAGAGCUUUCUUGUGGGGGUUUUCGCUGUGGUGCUUCGACUGAAUGCUUCGGACUCCAGCAGCCAGUGACUAAAUGUUAUUCACUGAAUGAUGAAGAUAACAGUUACCAUUCUCGAUGACUGUUGACAAUCUCAUCAAGGAACAUUUUGUGUCCGAACCAAUACAUGAGUAUGAUGUACAUAGCUGCAUAGUGUAGCGUACAACGAGGUAUGACUUCGGGAUUACUGGCGACAGCUGCUGAAGAAUCUUCUUGAUCAAUACUCAAUUCUCACUGCAUGCAAAGUGAAAGUUAUAUUUUAGAAUUUCCAUUUUUAUUUCAAGUGUAUAGUUUCCACUGUGGAUUUUGUUCUCAGUGGACAGUGUCAUUGCACCGACUUUGCUAGUUUCACGAUGAAGAAUUAGUUUUAUUGCAUUGCAGCUCCAGAUCUAAAGUGGCAAUAUUUUAUUUAAAGCGCAAACCAUGUUUACAGAUACCAUUCAUGAAACUCCAAAUGGAAUUAUCACAGAAAUUAAUGAGAGAAGACUUUAAAAAUUACCAAAGAAAAAAAAGGAGAAAAUUAAAAUACCACUUACCUAACUGGUAAGCAGCAAUCAAAAAUAAUUUGAUCAAUCUUGUUUACGUCAUAUGACCUUCAAAUGAUAUCAGCAUUAUGAAUUGUGUUUUCUAGGCAAGACAUGUAUUGGUGCUUUUGAAGAGACCCCCUUAUCUCUCUUCCAGAGAUCAGGCACUCCUUGCUUCAACCUGUUACAAGUUAAAAUCAACAAGAGGAAUAAACAAUAACUCAAAGGAUUAAAGGAGGACCCGAAAGAAAAAAAACUAUGUUCUGGAAUGUGAAAAAAUGAAGGGAAAACAAGUGCUAGAAUGCAAAUGAUCUUAUAGAAAUACAACUUAGGAGGCAUAACAUGGAUGUUAAAAGAAAUAUUCAAGAACCAAGAGAGAACAUAUUAAUAUAUUCAAAAAUAUUUUUCUUCUUUUUCUUUACCCCAUAUUUUCAUUGACCUUAAAUUUGUUUUCAUUCUCAUUUCUCGAAGAAUCAAGAUACAUAGCAUAUUUAAUUUUCUGAAAAUAAAAACCUAUCUACUUACUAGCUUGGUGUUCCAAUUGUAGUGAAAAUAAGUCCAGUGAUCUCAGAAGACUCUGUAUCUCAGAAGAAAGUCUCUAUCAGCAGAUUCUCCCUCUCUGGGGUUUCAAACCUGAGAAGGAUCCAAUUCACUACUUUUACGCUUCAACUCAUACAGUAACCCAUGUUGCUGUAAAAAGAAGUCAACUUGCUGACAGGUAAUGCACCUGAGAACUUUUUAAUAUUCUACACUGAAUUGUCAGUAGAGUGGCCACAAUGUGGAUGUAUUCUAGAAGCGUAUUCAUCUUAGCUCAAGGUUAAAACUGCUUCAAAUAAGGCUUUGGUUUUUCAGUGCUAUUGUCAGCAACUUGUCCUCAGUCAUUCAACAGAGCGCCGAAGUAUUAGGUACAUAACCGACGCCCUUAAUGUGAAGAAUCAAAUUAUCCAAAAUUGAAUACGUUAGAUCAGCUGCAUGAUGACUUUUGUCUCUGGCAACAAAAGCGUGGACCUCAUUAUUCACUUCUAUCCAACUACGACCAGCUUCUUUCAUUAUCCCAUCAAGGUCCAUUUUCUUCCUCACCUGCUUGGCAUCAGCCCACAUACUGUUACAUGCAAAAGUAUUUGAAAGCAGAGUAUAUGAACCACUAUCCAUUGGAUCUAUAGAAAUUGCCAUCUCCGCUGCAUAUCUUCCCAGUUCAACAUUGCCAAACAUUCUACAUGCAUUGAGUAAACUCCUCCACACAACUGCUGCUGGUUUUAUUGGCAUUUUCUCAAUAAAAUCCUUUGCUUCAUAUAGUUUGCCCGCACGGCCUAAAAGAGAAGCCACAGAUGCAUAAUGUUCCAUCCCUGGUUCAAUUCCAAACCCAGCCAUUGAUUGAAAGUGAUCAAGUCCAUCUUCUAUGAGUCCUGCAUGGCUACAUGCUGAUAGCACACCCACAAAUGUGAUGUAAUUGGGUUCUAGUCCUUCUAUUAUCAUUUCUCUGAACAAUAAAAGGGCUUUCAUGGGUUCCCCAUGAUGUGCAUUAGUACAAAUCAUGGAAUUCCAACAGGCAACGUCUUUCCAAGUUGUGGAACCAAAAGUUUCAUAAGCAUCUUCAAGGCUUCCACAUUUAGCAUACAUAUCGAUAAGUGCACUUGUAAUAAAUGGAUCAAAGUCCAGACCCAGCUUUAUAAGGUGGUUAUGGAACUGUUGACCAUGCUUCAGACUUCCUAGGUUACUGGCUGCAGUGAUUAGAGCAGCAAAAGUAAACUCGUUAGGUCUUUGUUGCGAUAGGAGUAGUUCAAGAUAGAGUUUGAUAGCCUCUUCAUUUUCCAACUGUUGAGUGUAACCCAAAAGCAUGGCGUUCCAUACAACAAUAUCUCUCUGAUUCAUCUCAUCAAACACAAGUCUUGCGUCCUUAUUACUAAAGCACUUGGAAUAAGCAUCUAUUAGAGCACUUCCAGCAAAUACAUCCAAGAAGACCCCAUAUUUGAUGAUGAGACCAUGAAUUUGCUUGCUUGAUUCCAAGGAAAAAACUGAAGAUGAUAAUCCGAGGAGGCUAACAAAGGUCAAGAGGCCUGGGGGAACAAAUCCAACCCUCAUCUCAUGAAAAAGAUCCAAUGCUUCAGAUAGCUUCUCCUGUUUUGAGUAUCCUUCAAUCAUUGCAUUAUAUGAGACCACAUUGCGAUCAGCCAUAACAUCAAAAACUUUUCUUGCUUCAGUCAACGAAUCACAUUUUGCAUACAUAUCAACCAAAGAAUUUUUCACAAAAUUAUCUGACUCAAUAUUGGCCUUAAAAGAGUAAGCAUGCACUUGUCUCCCUUGCUCUAGAGCCUCAACUGAACCACAUGAUGUGAGAACACUAGAGCAAGCAAAGUCAUCAGGCUUCCAUCCCGAUCUUGUCAUCUCUGUGAACAGUUUCAUGGCUUCUCUAUCAAAAGAAUUUUGCAUAUAUCCACCAAUCAAUGUGGUCCAUGAAAUAAUAUUUUUAACUUCAAUCUCAUCGAAAAGCCUUCUAGCCAUUUUCACUCUACCACAUUUCGAAUAAAAAUCCAUAAGCACGUUAAUAACUGAAACAUCCAUUCCCAUUCCUCUCCUCAAAACAUGAGCAUGAAUUUGCUUUCCUCCCCCAACAAACUGAAGCAUUGAACAAGCACUCAACACACUAGAGAGCAAGUACUUAUCAUGAACAACAUCAGUCUCCCUCAUUUGAUUAAAUAAGUUCAAUGACAAAUCGCUCCUCCCACUCUUCACAUACCCAGUUAUAAUUGUAGUCCAAGAAACGGCCGUUUUCACCAUUAAACCAUCAAAGACAAAUUUUGCAUCAUCCACACUUCCAUUUUUUGCAUAUAAAUUCAUCAGAGAUGUACCCACAUAAACAUCUCGAUCAAAACCGCUCUUAAUAACAAAACUGUGCAUUUGCUCACCCGCAUUACCACCAUCACCACCACCACCCAAUUGCGUGCAGGCACAAAUAACACUCGAUAAAAUGUAAUCGUCAGGCCUCCCAUUACCAACUUUUAAAAACCCAAUAAACACCAUCAAAGCUUCCUCCCCAUAACCUUUUUUAGUAUACAUAGAAACCAACGAAGACCACGAAACUAAAUUCCUCUCAGACAUUGUAUCAAACAACUUCCGCGCACCAUCCAAAUCAUUAGCUUUCGAAUAAUUUCUCAAAAGCAUGUUCGCAAGAAAAGUAUCACAUUGUAAGCCACUGAUGACAAUUUGUGCGUGAACUUGUUUGUAACACGUAAUACGUUCGUUGUUGAAAUUGUCAGGUAAAGGGCGUUGCAGGAACCAGGCUAACACGCUGCGUUUUGUACUGAUAUUGAAAGAUUGAAGAGAUGGGUUUCGUGGAGAAAAUGUAACCGAUUUCAAUAAGUUGGAGGAGUUGCAAUUCUUGAUUUUGUGAUGAGGCUUUCUCAGACUGUGAGUUAAGCGUUGGUGAACUCUCAUUCUAGAGCUCCCGCACGUUCAUGUUCAAAUGUUGCCGCCACUGCCUUUAGCUGUUGGUAACAGAGCUGGGAGAGACCAUCUCUGCAUCUGUCCUAGUCCAAACUCAAAUGUUAAACCUUGGGCAGAGUUUGGAGUUAACGUUUUAAGCCCAUCUAACAAUUAUUAUGAAGGGUAUGUCCUUUAACACCCCGCAAAAGUACUUAUAAAACCUCCAUUCGGUUGAAAUUACUGAACAACUAAAGGUAAGUUUUUUUUUUUAAUAGAAAUUCAAUUAAACACUUAAAUAAAUUAUUCUUUUAAAAAAUUCUUUACACAUAUCUCAUUUCAUAAUUCACAUUUAUGUUUUUGAUUUUAAUUAAUUUUUUUGAAAAGAUUAUAGAAAUAUAAACAAUAUUAUGAGAAAAAAAUAAUUUAAGACUUUAAGAUUUAUACACAUUUUAUAAAUAAAAAAUUUAAAGAAACGUUUUUUAGAGUAAAAUUCUAUGAAAAUAUGGUUAUUCUAACACAUGGGUUUGUGUUUUAUAAAUUAAAUUAAGAAAUAUAACCGCGCUUCGCGUGACUUUGGAAAAAGAAUUUAGUAUUAUCAUUUUUUCUUACUUGCACUUGAUGAAACUGGUAAAAAAUAUGAAUUGAUUUUUUUUUAAGAUGAGUUAGUCUUAUAAAACUGAUGUUAUUUAUGAGAGUUAAUUAUUUUUUUAUUAACUUUAAAAAUAUAUAUUAAUGUGUAUAGUGUAAGUGUACAAACCUUAUACCUUUUGUAGUUAUUGAUAAGUUCCAAAUUAUAUUCAACUUUCUAAUCUGUUAGAACUUUUAUAUCUUUUUUUUUUCCAACCAGCUAUAACGAACUCAAUAUCACCCACACCACAUAAACUUCUAACAACAUCUGUAAUAUUAUGAAAAAAAUAACAUAAACAUGUUAAAAUAUAAGGAUCAAUUAUUUUUAAUAUACGCUUAAAGAUUAACAAACAUUAGUAAUUAAAAAAAAACUGAGAGGAGUGUAUUAUUAUUCACACGUGUAUCAAUCAAAUUCGGAGAUAUGAAUUGGAAUCCAUUGAUUGAUCAAUCAAAUUCGGAGAUAUGAAUUGGAAUCUAUUGAUCAGAAUCUUAACAAUUCCUUCUUCUAACCUCUUAAGUGAAGUUAUAACCAAGAAAAUAAUAUUAUACUGAUUUGAAAGUGGUAUGUACUCGCCAGUAGUUGAAACAACUUUCAAAUUCUUGACACUAUACAAAGAACCAUCACUCAACAUGUGCCUAAACCUUGUCACUAAAUUUUUCCUGAUUGUUGCAUGCAUUAGAUUUUUCGACAAAAAGAAAAUGCUACAUUAAGUGUAAAACAAUUGGGAAAAAAAUUAAAGAAAACAAUGGGAGAAAGAAUUUUUAUACAACCUUUUCAUCAAUAUAAAUCAUGUUCACACUAAUCAAUUCUCCAUUCUUCUUGGUAUUAACAGACUUCCACACUCUACAAAGCUUAACCCUUAUCAUCCAACUAUCUUUAUCAUUGUUCAACUCAUGAAGAAAAUAGUACUGUAUGAAGCACAAAAUACAUAUUAUUGAAUUUAAAUAGAAAGAGGAAAAGACAUGUAAUCUAAUAAUUAUUUUCUAUUUUUAAUAUUUUGUAAUGUAAUUAUUUUUUAAUCUCAACCAAUAUAUUAGACAAUAGAGAAUAUAAAAAGAUGAGAAAUAAUGAUGCCACAAAUCUUAAAUACUUAAUGUUUAUAGAGUUUGAAGAAGAUAAAAGGCACUAAACAAAAUGUUGCAUAAUUAAAUAUGAGAUUAUGACAUUGAAAUUAGGCCCUAACGGCAUUGUUGAGGGAAGAUGAAGGAAAAUUCCUUCCUAUAUUAAUUAAUUGAUUGAUAUAUUUUAAAUCACUAAAGUUUAAUUGUUGGCAUAAUAAAAUAAAUGAAUGCUUUAAGACUUAUAAUUAAUUAUUAUUAAUGGUUACAUAUUGUUGAAUUUAAAUAGAA